AUCCUAUUUUCCUUUUAAUUGAAUGGCAACUGCUGCUUUCAUUUCCUUCUCUCAGUUUCCGAUUUCAUGAAAUGAUAUGUAUAGGUUCAGGGCUUGAUAAUACCGGUGGCAUGCCUUCCGAAGUUUCUGGCGCCAAGAAACAUCGCUUGCCCGGUCUCAGAGGAGAGACCAGCAGCAAAUCCCUUGAGGCCAUGGUGAGUUCAUAAAACUUCGAAUGCUGACUGGCUGCUGGGAUAUACUCUGGUCUCACAUAUGGGCUGAAGGAAGCUCGUGGAGCUCAUGAUUGGAAAAACAGUGUAGUUGCAGGAGCAAUAACGGGGGCAACACUUGCACUGACAUCAGAAGACACAUCUCAUGAACAGAUUGUGCAAUGUGCUAUUACUGGAGCUGCAAUCUCGACCGCAGCAAAUCUUCUUACCGGAAUAUUCUAGACAGAAUAUUAGUGAUGACCACCCUCUUAAUGAUUCUACUUUUGAAAUUGAUAAUUGAAAACCGUCUUGUGUUGUCUUGGUGGAUUUAUGGAUUCUUCUAGUUACUAGUUAGGACAUGUUUUUGAACUACUUGGCAAGUUGUUCCGUCUUAACUCGAAUUUGUAGUGUUGGACACGGCCUCCUUGUUAAAGUCCUUUCGAAUUAACAAGCUUCUUCCCUUGCAAGGAGCAUCCGAAUUAAACGUGACACUAGUUUUAGCAGUAA
Molecule: non-coding RNA, 695 nt
Organism: Arachis ipaensis
Lineage: Eukaryota; Viridiplantae; Streptophyta; Magnoliopsida; Fabales; Fabaceae
Source: RefSeq, a predicted model, not a curated record